RNAcentral lists this transfer RNA (72 nucleotides) under Camelus bactrianus (Bactrian camel). It matches the Rfam family "tRNA". From Rfam's summary of the family: Transfer RNA (tRNA) molecules are approximately 80 nucleotides in length. Lineage: Eukaryota; Metazoa; Chordata; Mammalia; Artiodactyla; Camelidae. The record is from Rfam by way of RNAcentral. RNAcentral also lists the same sequence under 2 other names.
GAGGGUGUAGCUAAGCGGUAGAGUGCAUGCUUAGCAUGCACGAGGUCCUGGGUUCAAUUCCCAAUACCUCCA